ACACAUAUUAAAGUUGAAUUAAACAUGAAUGGAAAAUGUAGCAAACGAAAGAGCAUUAUGUGAUAUGUAAACUGAAUAAAACUUGUAUCAAUAGUGAAUUAAACAAGUAAUUCAAUCCUAACAAAUCAACCAAUAAACUGCAAAAUGAAUUAACUUGUAUUUAAAAGUGUAUUACACAAAUAUUAAAGUUGAAUUAGAAGAGAG
RNAcentral lists this long non-coding RNA (204 nucleotides) under Solanum tuberosum (potato). RNAcentral describes it as "long non-coding RNA (STUB_LNC006267)". Lineage: Eukaryota; Viridiplantae; Streptophyta; Magnoliopsida; Solanales; Solanaceae. The record is from RNAcentral.